This is a non-coding RNA of Pelobates cultripes (western spadefoot toad), 416 nucleotides long. The record is from the annotation of a GenBank genome assembly. NCBI's taxonomy places the organism in Eukaryota, Metazoa, Chordata, Amphibia, Anura, Pelobatidae.
AAAUCUAUAAUUAAAAUAUAAUGGUCUGACCAACUAUUACUUCUGAUAAAUAUGUCUUUCAGAGCCCCGACCAAGUUCAAAUCCCCCAUACAGAUAUCAAGUCAGUCGAAGAAGCAUAGAAUUUGAAAGUGUGUGUGUAGUCUUUACCAGUGGAUGAAAUAAACUCCAACAGUCGUACAAAUCAUUAUGUUUAUACAGUCUAUUUAGGGCAGCCGAUUGUUUAAUUAAUCUGUUAUCUGUGGCUAGAUGUGCAGGUAUCAUCCGCUUGUCCAUUUUGGGGUCUGAUAUGCAAUUAAAAUCUCCUGCUAGUAUCAGACGGCCUUUACGAAUAAGAUCUGCUUGGUUUAUUAUUUUAGUAAGGCCUCUAACAGGUAAAUAAAUAUUGACUAAGGUACAGAAUUGGCCGUUAAUUUGAC